Molecule: ribosomal RNA, 933 nt
Filed under: Curvularia hominis
Lineage: Eukaryota; Fungi; Ascomycota; Dothideomycetes; Pleosporales; Pleosporaceae
Description: eukaryotic LSU rRNA
Rfam family: Eukaryotic large subunit ribosomal RNA
Source: RNAcentral
ACCCGCUGAAACUAAGCAUAUCAAUAAGCGGAGGAAAAGAAACCAACAGGGAUUGCCCUAGUAACGGCGAGUGAAGCGGCAACAGCUCAAAUUUGAAAUCUGGCUCUUUCAGAGUCCGAGUUGUAAUUUGCAGAGGGCGCUUUGGCUUUGGCAGCGGUCCAAGUUCCUUGGAACAGGACGUCACAGAGGGUGAGAAUCCCGUACGUGGUCGCUAGCUAUUGCCGUGUAAAGCCCCUUCGACGAGUCGAGUUGUUUGGGAAUGCAGCUCUAAAUGGGAGGUAAAUUUCUUCUAAAGCUAAAUAUUGGCCAGAGACCGAUAGCGCACAAGUAGAGUGAUCGAAAGAUGAAAAGCACUUUGGAAAGAGAGUCAAACAGCACGUGAAAUUGUUGAAAGGGAAGCGCUUGCAGCCAGACUUGCUUGCAGUUGCUCAUCCGGGCUUUUGCCCGGUGCACUCUUCUGCAGGCAGGCCAGCAUCAGUUUGGGCGGUGGGAUAAAGGUCUCUGACACGUUCCUUCCUUCGGGUUGGCCAUAUAGGGGAGACGUCAUACCACCAGCCUGGACUGAGGUCCGCGCAUCUGCUAGGAUGCUGGCGUAAUGGCUGUAAGCGGCCCGUCUUGAAACACGGACCAAGGAGUCUAACAUCUAUGCGAGUGUUUGGGUGUCAAGCCCGAGCGCGUAAUGAAAGUGAACGGAGGUGGGAACCCGCAAGGGCGCACCAUCGACCGAUCCUGAAGUUUACGGAAGGAUUUGAGUAAGAGCAUGGCUGUUGGGACCCGAAAGAUGGUGAACUAUGCUUGAAUAGGGUGAAGCCAGAGGAAACUCUGGUGGAGGCUCGCAGCGGUUCUGACGUGCAAAUCGAUCGUCAAAUUUGGGCAUAGGGGCGAAAGACUAAUCGAACUAUCUAGUAGCUGGUUCCUGCCGAAGUUUCUCCC